Molecule: ribosomal RNA, 440 nt
Filed under: uncultured bacterium
Lineage: Bacteria
Description: partial 16S ribosomal RNA
Rfam family: Bacterial small subunit ribosomal RNA
Source: RNAcentral
CCUACGGGUGGCAGCAGUGGGGAAUAUUGCACAAUGGGCGAAAGCCUGAUGCAGCGACGCCGCGUGAGGGAUGAAGGACUUCGGUAUGUAAAGCUCUGUCAGCAGGGAAGAACAGUCCGGUACCUGAUCAAGAGUCCAUGGACAACUCCGUGCCAGCAGCCGCGGUCAUACGGAGGGCGCCAGCGUUAUCCGGAUUUACUGGGUGUAAAGGGAGCGUAGACGGCAGGACAAGUCAGGAGUGAAAUUCCUGGGCUCAACCUGGGAACUGCUUUCGAAACUGGAAAGCUAGAGUGCAGGAGAGGUAAGUGGAAUUCCUGGUGUAGCGGUGAAAUGUGUAGAUAUCAGGAGGAACACCAGUGGCGAAGGCGGCUUACUGGACUGUAACUGACGUUGAGGCUCGAAAGCGUGGGUAGCAAACAGGAUUAGAUACCCGGGUAGUC